Molecule: ribosomal RNA, 253 nt
Filed under: uncultured bacterium
Lineage: Bacteria
Description: partial 16S ribosomal RNA
Rfam family: Bacterial small subunit ribosomal RNA
Source: RNAcentral
UACGGAGGGCGCAAGCGUUGUUCGGAAUCAUUGGGCGUAAAGCGCGUGUAGGCGGCCAUUUAAGUCGGAUGUGAAAGCCCGGGGCCCAACCCCGGAACUGCAUUCGAUACUGAGUGGCUGGAGUCCCGGAGAGGAAGGCGGAAGUCCCGGUGUAGAGGUGAAAUUCGUAGAUAUCGGGAGGAACAUCAGUGGCGCAGGCGGCCUUCUGGACGGUGACUGACGCUGAGACGCGAAAGCGUGGGGAGCAAACAGG